Molecule: long non-coding RNA, 554 nt
Filed under: Homo sapiens (human)
Lineage: Eukaryota; Metazoa; Chordata; Mammalia; Primates; Hominidae
Description: HSALNT0319998
Source: RNAcentral
AGGAGCUGAAAUGUUGAGUACAUAAGGACACAGAGAAGGGAAUCAUAGCCACUAGGUCCUAUUUGAUGGUGGAAGAUGAGAGGAGUGUGAGGAUUGAAAAGCUACCUUUCAGGUGAUUUGUUGGACACACCAAUGCUCCUGACACAUGCUAUUCACUUGGAGCAGCUCCUCUUAUGUGGCACAUUCACAGUGCAACGGCUCUGCAAGAAGCAUGGCCCCAGCAUCUGCUUCUGGUGAGGCCUCAGGAAGCAUUCAGUUGUGGAGGAAGACAAAGGAGGAGCAGUUGCGCUAUACAGCAAAAGAGGAGGAGGCAGGAAAAGGAGGAGGAGGUAGCCGGCUCUUUGUAACCAGCAGACCUCCCAUAACUAAUGGAGUGAUAACUCACUCAUUACUGCCAGAAAGGCAAGAAGGCAUUCAUGAGGGAUCUGUACCUACAACGCAAAGUCCUCCCACUCCUUCUAUUGUGGGCUACCUAAAAAUGGAACAUAUUAACUUCCAAGAUAUUUGGGUGCACAGAUAUUAAAAAUAAAAUAAGCUGCCACACACUAAUGGAA